This 335-nucleotide ribosomal RNA is filed under the name uncultured Planctomycetales bacterium. RNAcentral's name for it is "bacterial SSU rRNA". It matches the Rfam family "Bacterial small subunit ribosomal RNA", at positions 473 to 806 of the family's 1533-position model. Lineage: Bacteria; Pseudomonadati; Planctomycetota; Planctomycetia; Planctomycetales. The record is from RNAcentral.
CUACGGCUCCAGAGGAAGCCACGGCUAACUCUGUGCCAGCAGCCGCGGUAAUACAGAGGCGGCAAGCGUUGUUCGGAAUUAUUGGGCGUAAAGAGCACGUAGGCGGCCUUGCAAGUCAGUUGUGAAAGCCUUCCGCUUAACGGAAGAAUGCCAGCUGAUACUACAGGGCUUGAGUACGGGAGGGGAGAGUGGAACUUCUGGUGGAGCGGUGAAGUGCGUAGAUAUCAGAAGGAACGCCGGCGGCGAAAGCGACUCUCUGGCCCGAAACUGACGCUGAGUGUGCGAAAGCUAGGGGAGCAAACGGGAUUAGAUACCCCGGUAGUCCUAGCCGUAAA